RNAcentral lists this ribosomal RNA (414 nucleotides) under uncultured microorganism. Its description in RNAcentral is "bacterial SSU rRNA". It matches the Rfam family "Archaeal small subunit ribosomal RNA", at positions 330 to 742 of the family's 1478-position model. The record is from RNAcentral.
GUGCACCAGGCGCGAAAACUUCACACUGUGCGAAAGCACGAUGAGGGAAUCCCAAGUGCUUGCACGUAAGUGUAAGCUGUUUCUCUGUCUAAAACGCAGAGAGAGUAAGGGCUGGGUAAGACGGGUGCCAGCCGCCGCGGUAAUACCUGCAGCUCAAGUGGUGACCGUUAUUAUUGGGGCCUAAAACGUCCGUAGCCGGUUUAAUAAAUGCCUGGGUAAAAUUGUGUAGCUUAACUAUACGAAUUCCGGGUAGACUGUUAAACUUGAGACCGGGAGAAGUUAGAGGUACUCCUGGGGUAGAGGUGAAAUUCUGUAAUCCUAGGGGGACCACCAGUGGCGAAGGCGUCUAACUAGAACGGGUCUGACGGUGAGGGACGAAGCCCUGGGGCGCAAACGGGGAUUAGAUACCUGGGU